CCGAAUUGUCGACACGAGUUGUUGCUGGUCCUCAGACGGGGGCACGUGCACGCUCUGUCUAUACAUCCACUCACACCUGUGCACCCUCUGUAGUUCUGCGACCUGGGUGACUCUGUCCCCUUGCCGUGGUUCUGCGUCUUUACACACACACCGUAACAAAGUCUCGUGGAAUGUGCACCGCGUUUAACGCAAUACAAUA
This 199-nucleotide unclassified non-coding RNA is filed under the name uncultured Thelephoraceae. RNAcentral describes it as "sequence contains ITS1". The record is from RNAcentral. Lineage: Eukaryota; Fungi; Basidiomycota; Agaricomycetes; Thelephorales; Thelephoraceae.